Molecule: long non-coding RNA, 1145 nt
Organism: Ceratina calcarata
Lineage: Eukaryota; Metazoa; Arthropoda; Insecta; Hymenoptera; Apidae
Exons: 2
Source: RefSeq, a predicted model, not a curated record
CUCUUUCCGAUCGUUCAAUUUCGUACGCGUAAUUCACGAAGAUUCACCUAUGGAUUAUUAAUUACUUGCAUUUAACAAACUGGCGCAGUCGAGCAACAGGUCUGGUAGGUUCGUGCACCGACGUCAACGACGAGAAGUUCAUUGGUAGAUCCAUGACAUCGUACAGUACUAUUAUUGCUUGUUACUCGUGCAAUUUGUGAACUGGAACACCGGCACCGCACGACGCAAAUACAAAACCGUGGAUUGUUCGGUCGAGUUAGAAUCGGUGCGGUGCAAGCGAGAGUCGAACGAAGGAGAGAGUAGCCGCCUCGGAUGGAAUAUUGAUGAGCAAAACGAAGUUUUCGUAAAUAAUUGUUGUUCGCCUCUGAAGAGAAAUACAAAAAGCUUCGUUGAAUCUCUGUUGAAAUUAUGGCGACAGAAUUCUUCAUGUCAAGGAGAUCCAGAUAUUGGACGGGCAGGAACGAUGGCCAUGUACAAAACAAGUGAAAUUGGUCAACGCUAAGAAUUAAUGAUAUCAACAGAAUUUAAUCGUGUUGUUGAUGCGUCGUACGCUUGUUCAGUAUAUAUUUUGAAGUCGCUUUUUCCUAAAAAUACACACGUGUCUAGCAGAUAACAUAAUUAUAUAAUUAAAAUUGUUUAUUGUUGUUACAAUCACGAUUAAGGCAGGUCGUCGUCAAGCUAAGUGUCCUUGCAUUUAUAUAAAAAAUAAGCGCAUUUGUAGUAAUUUUGAUAACCCAACCUGACAUUGCGAUUACAAAUGAUCGGACGAUGAAUACGUCUCUACUUAAUUAUAAAUAAUUAAGUCCUGAAAUAGAAUUGAUCUAAUCAGACGAAUUACGGAUACACGAUCCAUUAAAAGAUUUGCAUUAAACGGAGGGAGAAUUUGUUUGCGAUGUCGAUCUGUUUGAACAGGUGGGCUCUUAAAUCGUUCGUCGAGCAAAAGAUCUCGAUGAAAAGGAAAGUUACAUUCCACGUGUGGAACCAUCAUUGAACUUGAAUACGAGAAAUCUUUCUCCCGUUCUAGCAAAACUACGGACCGGGUGAAAGUGACCAGCGAGCGCAGAAUUCGGGAGAUCCCAAUUCGCGUCGAACUCUAAUCGUUCGCUAGUUACGUCGAUUUUAAAUAAACACCGCGACGUCAAAUA